UGCCCUGUGGAUCACACACACCUCUCUCUGUUGAGAUUCAGGUGUAAGUUAAACUUAAACCCCAAAAAAUCAGCUGACUCCCAACUGCUGAGCAAUCGAAUAGCUCUGGCGAUGUGCAAUUACUAAAUCAUCAUUUCAAUUCCAUCGAAAUCACAGAUAGCAUCUUGGGAGAAAAAAAGCUGUGUGGAUUGGAUUCUUGAGUGCUGAGUGUAGAACCACACAAAAUUUGAUGAGUGGGGCUUCAACAUCUGGCAGUCUUCGAGCAGCUUUAUCCCACUGUGUACAACAAGUCCGAAAAUAUGAUUACCACCAUUACCUAUGCCUCCUCCAACUCUCCCCUGAGAUGCGGAAAGCUGCAUUUGCCCUACGUGCUUUCAACGUAGAAACUGCUAAGGCCAUGGAUGUUGCCUCUGAUCCAAGAAUCGGUCUUAUGCGUCUCCUGUGGUGGCAGGAAGCCAUAGACAAAAUUUAUUCCCACAAGAAGAUUGAACACCCCAUAGCCCAGGCCUUAUCUUCUAUAAUCUCUGAACACAAAAUCAGCAAAAGUUGGUUAAAGAGAUCUGUGGAAGCCCGAAUUAACGAUGCAAGAAGGGAAGUAGAUGAAAUUCCAGAAACAAUGGAAGAGCUUGAAAAAUAUGCUGAGGACACUGUUUCCACAGUCCUGUACAUGACUCUUCAAGCAGGAGGAAUUAGGUCGACAUCAGCAGACCAUGCAGCCUCACAUAUAGGGAAGGCAAGCGGCCUUCUUCUGCUCCUACGUUCAUUACCUUACCAUUUUAGUCGUAAUCCUCAGAUUCCUUAUAUACCGGUUGAAGUGGCAUCGAAGCAUGGAUUGUUAGUUAACGAGGGAGGUCAAAGGCUGAUUCGGUCGGAUUCUCGCGAAGGUUUACCAGAUGCAGUUUUUGAGAUGGCUUCCGUAGCUAAUACUCAUCUACAGAAGGCUCGGGAAUUAGCAAAGACAGUGCCUGCAGAAGCUCUUCCUGUUUUACUUCCUGCUGUCCCUGCACAAGUUAUGUUGGACUCACUACGGAAGGUACAUUUUGAUGUGUUCGACCCUAAGUUGACCAGAGGGGUUCUGGGUAUUUCUCCAUUAGGGUUUCAGUUAAAGCUAAAGUGGAACUCAUGGAGAAAGACAUAUUAAUGCUUUGUAAAUUCAGUUAUCAUGAUUCCAUGACCAUGCAGCGGUUUUCUCACAAAAAUGUUGCAGUUUUGAAGUACUGCAGCGGCAUUUCCAAAUAUGUAAUCUACUGUGCCAUAGAUAUCGCAGUCACGGUAGAACUGUCUCUGCGAGUGGAGUAAAAGUGUGUCUUGAUAACCCCUGAAGCUACACCUGUAGAAAGCCGAUAAAUCUGAUGACACUCUUAAAGCCACUGCUUGCUCUUUUGCAGGUCCUGCUGUGUUCUCAAAUGUCAUGUCUCUUGCCCAAAAUCCAUCUCCAGAUACACCUUCAAGCGCCAUUAGAGUAGAUUUUGUUAACAUAAUACAUUACAUGUGGCAAAACAUUAUCAUUGCUGUAUUUUGUUAGUAAUUACCGAAAGUGGCUGAGCUGAGGGUAGUUGCUCCAUCUAUCACAUUCUUGUUGCCGAUCACCACUCUUGGAGGUUGGCCUUGGUCCCGCUUCUGGCGGUGCAGUUCAGCCACAGCUUCAUUAAUGGUUUUGAAAUUGCCGGAUCCAUCUUUUGCAACAACAAAAUCAGCCUUUGCAGUUGACGCGUCCC
RNA transcript from Papaver somniferum (opium poppy), 1718 nucleotides. It is a transcript of the gene named NADH dehydrogenase (ubiquinone) complex I, assembly factor 6-like, with no coding region annotated. The transcript has 5 exons. The record is from RefSeq and is a predicted model, not a curated record. Lineage: Eukaryota; Viridiplantae; Streptophyta; Magnoliopsida; Ranunculales; Papaveraceae.